AGGCGAACCGGGGGAACUGAAACAUCUAAGUACCCCGAGGAAAAGAAAUCAACCGAGAUUCCCCCAGUAGCGGCGAGCGAACGGGGAGCAGCCCAGAGUCUGAAUCAGCUUGUGUGUUAGUGGAACGGUCUGGAAAGUCCGACGGUACAGGGUGAUAGUCCCGUACACCAAAAUGCACAGGCUGUGAACUCGAAGAGUAGGGCGGGACACGUGGUAUCCUGUCUGAAUAUGGGGGGACCAUCCUCCAAGGCUAAAUACUCCUGACUGACCGAUAGUGAACCAGUACCGUGAGGGAAAGGCGAAAAGAACCCCGGCGAGGGGAGUGAAAAAGAACCUGAAACCGUGUACGUACAAGCAGUGGGAGCACCUUCGGGUGUGACUGCGUACCUUUUGUAUAAUGGGUCAGCGACUUAUAUUCUGUAGCAAGGUUAACCGUAUAGGGGAGCCGCAGGGAAACCGAGUCUUAACUGGGCGUUAAGUUGCAGGGUAUAGACCCGAAACCCGGUGAUCUAGCCAUGGGCAGGUUGAAGGUUGGGUAACACUAACUGGAGGACCGAACCGACUAAUGUUGAAAAAUUAGCGGAUGACUUGUGGCUGGGGGUGAAAGGCCAAUCAAACCGGGAGAUAGCUGGUUCUCCCCGAAAGCUAUUUAGGUAGCGCCUCGUGAACUCAUCUUCGGGGGUAGAGCACUGUUUCGGCUAGGGGGUCAUCCCGACUUACCAACCCGAUGCAAACUACGAAUACCGAAGAAUGUUAUCACGGGAGACACACGGCGGGUGCUAACGUCCGUCGUGAAGAGGGAAACAACCCAGACCGCCAGCUAAGGUCCCAAAGUCAUGGUUAAGUGGGAAACGAUGUGGGAAGGCACAGACAGCCAGGAUGUUGGCUUAGAAGCAGCCAUCAUUUAAAGAAAGCGUAAUAGCUCACUGGUCGAGUCGGCCUGCGCGGAAGAUGUAACGGGGCUAAACCAUGCACCGAAGCUGCGGCAGCGACACUAUGUGUUGUUGGGUAGGGGAGCGUUCUGUAAGCCUGCGAAGGUGUGCUGUGAGGCAUGCUGGAGGUAUCAGAAGUGCGAAUGCUGACAUAAGUAACGAUAAAGCGGGUGAAAAGCCCGCUCGCCGGAAGACCAAGGGUUCCUGUCCAACGUUAAUCGGGGCAGGGUGAGUCGACCCCUAAGGCGAGGCCGAAAGGCGUAGUCGAUGGGAAACAGGUUAAUAUUCCUGUACUUGGUGUUACUGCGAAGGGGGGACGGAGAAGGCUAUGUUAGCCGGGCGACGGUUGUCCCGGUUUAAGCAUGUAGGCUGGUUGUCCAGGCAAAUCCGGAUAAUCAAGGCUGAGGUGUGAUGACGAGGCACUACGGUGCUGAAGUAACAAAUGCCCUGCUUCCAGGAAAAGCCUCUAAGCAUCAGGUAACAUCAAAUCGUACCCCAAACCGACACAGGUGGUCAGGUAGAGAAUACCAAGGCGCUUGAGAGAACUCGGGUGAAGGAACUAGGCAAAAUGGUGCCGUAACUUCGGGAGAAGGCACGCUGGUGUGUAGGUGAAGUCCCUGCGGAUGGAGCUGAGACCAGUCGAAGAUACCAGCUGGCUGCAACUGUUUAUUAAAAACACAGCACUGUGCAAACACGAAAGUGGACGUAUACGGUGUGACGCCUGCCCGGUGCCGGAAGGUUAAUUGAUGGGGUUAUCCGUAAGGAGAAGCUCUUGAUCGAAGCCCCGGUAAACGGCGGCCGUAACUAUAACGGUCCUAAGGUAGCGAAAUUCCUUGUCGGGUAAGUUCCGACCUGCACGAAUGGCGUAAUGAUGGCCAGGCUGUCUCCACCCGAGACUCAGUGAAAUUGAACUCGCUGUGAAGAUGCAGUGUACCCGCGGCAAGACGGAAAGACCCCGUGAACCUUUACUAUAGCUUGACACUGAACAUUGAGCCUUGAUGUGUAGGAUAGGUGGGAGGCUUUGAAGCGUGGACGCCAGUCUGCGUGGAGCCAACCUUGAAAUACCACCCUUUAAUGUUUGAUGUUCUAACGUUGGCCCCUGACCGGGGUUGCGGACAGUGUCUGGUGGGUAGUUUGACUGGGGCGGUCUCCUCCCAAAGCGUAACGGAGGAGCACGAAGGUUAGCUAAUCCUGGUCGGACAUCAGGAGGUUAGUGCAAUGGCAUAAGCUAGCUUGACUGCGAGCGUGACGGCGCGAGCAGGUGCGAAAGCAGGUCAUAGUGAUCCGGUGGUUCUGAAUGGAAGGGCCAUCGCUCAACGGAUAAAAGGUACUCCGGGGAUAACAGGCUGAUACCGCCCAAGAGUUCAUAUCGACGGCGGUGUUUGGCACCUCGAUGUCGGCUCAUCACAUCCUGGGGCUGAAGUAGGUCCCAAGGGUAUGGCUGUUCGCCAUUUAAAGUGGUACGCGAGCUGGGUUUAGAACGUCGUGAGACAGUUCGGUCCCUAUCUGCCGUGGGCGCUGGAGAAUUGAGGGGGGCUGCUCCUAGUACGAGAGGACCGGAGUGGACGCAUCACUGGUGUUCGGGUUGUCAUGCCAAUGGCACUGCCCGGUAGCUAAAUGCGGAAGAGAUAAGUGCUGAAAGCAUCUAAGCACGAAACUUGCCCCGAGAUGAGUUCUCCCUGAGACUUUAAGUCUCCUGAAGGAACGUUGAAGACGACGACGUUGAUAGGCCGGGUGUGUAAGCGCAGCGAUGCGUUGAGCUAACCGGUACUAAUGAACCGUGAGGCUUAACCUU
Molecule: ribosomal RNA, 2727 nt
Filed under: Klebsiella pneumoniae
Lineage: Bacteria; Pseudomonadati; Pseudomonadota; Gammaproteobacteria; Enterobacterales; Enterobacteriaceae
Description: bacterial LSU rRNA
Rfam family: Bacterial large subunit ribosomal RNA
Source: RNAcentral